UACGUAGGGUGCAAGCGUUAAUCGGAAUUACUGGGCGUAAAGCGCACGUAGGCGGAUCUUUAAGUCAGGGGUGAAAUCCUGGAGCUCAACUCCAGAACUGCCUUUGAUACUGGGGAUCUCGAGUCCGGAAGAGGUGAGUGGAACUCCGAGUGUAGAGGUGAAAUUCGUAGAUAUUCGGAGGAACACCAGUGGCGAAGGCGGCUCACUGGUCCGGUACUGACGCUGAGGUGCGAAAGCGUGGGGAGCAAACAGG
Molecule: ribosomal RNA, 253 nt
Filed under: uncultured bacterium
Lineage: Bacteria
Description: partial 16S ribosomal RNA
Rfam family: Bacterial small subunit ribosomal RNA
Source: RNAcentral